RNAcentral lists this ribosomal RNA (485 nucleotides) under uncultured bacterium. RNAcentral describes it as "partial 16S ribosomal RNA". It matches the Rfam family "Bacterial small subunit ribosomal RNA", at positions 28 to 507 of the family's 1533-position model. The record is from RNAcentral.
AUUGAACGCUGGCGGCAUGCUUUACACAUGCAAGUCGAACGGCAGCGCGGGCUUCGGCCUGGCGGCGAGUGGCGAACGGGUGAGUAAUGCAUCGGAACGUGCCCAGUAGUGGGGGAUAGCCCGGCGAAAGCCGGAUUAAUACCGCAUACGACCUGAGGGUGAAAGCGGGGGGACCGAAAGGCCUCGCGCUAUUGGAGCGGCCGAUGUCGGAUUAGCUAGUUGGUGGGGUAAAGGCUUACCAAGGCGACGAUCCGUAGCUGGUCUGAGAGGACGACCAGCCACACUGGGACUGAGACACGGCCCAGACUCCUACGGGAGGCAGCAGUGGGGAAUUUUGGACAAUGGGGGCAACCCUGAUCCAGCCAUGCCGCGUGCGGGAAGAAGGCCUUCGGGUUGUAAACCGCUUUUGUUCGGGAAGAAAUCCUCUGGGCUAAUACCCCGGGGGGAUGACGGUACCGGAAGAAUAAGCACCGGCUAACUACGUG